AUAUACCCUAACAACACACAACAUUCCAGGAAUGUACUACCAAAGUUCUAUCAAUAUUUGAAUGUCCUGGACAUUUAGGGAACAUUCGGUGAACAUCUGAUUAAAUUAUUCGUGGAAUGUUACCAUAAGACAUUCUGUGAACAUACUACCAAUGUUCCUAUAUGUUCAUUUUCAAAUUCACGGCGCAUGUAUUUGUGCAUGGUGCUUAGAGAGGGCAUCACGUGACUAAAAACGACCAAUGACCUCACUUCAGACUUCGGUGCUUCGGCCAUCUUGACAUGCAUCUUGGCCUUGGCCACCUUGCCGUGCGUGAUCGUUGUUUGUUUUUAUUUGUGCUUUUUAAGAAUAUUUUUUAAUUCGGAUACUUUUAUAAUAACUUUAAUAGUAUUAUUAAUAUAGUGCAUAAAAUCAGUUGGAGUAGCAGAAGCAAUGUAGAUAAAAAAUCUGCAGGAAUAAUGUUUCAAAGCUUUCCAGAAGAUCCUGCAAAGAAGGCAUGAAGUAUUGAUCAGAUUUGUUAAUAGAGCAGUAUGUUCAAAACAUUUUUUAGAAAAAGAUAUUGACAGAACUUCACUUUCAACCGUUUGAGAGACUGUGCUGUUCCAAUAGCUUAUAUCACACAGAAUCAGCUGAGAGAAGUGGUCUACAAAAAACCAGGAAGGAAAUGGAAUAUGUGGCUAUGAAAGGCAAAAGAAAGGUUUACAAAGCAAAUGUGACACAUUUUUUUAUAGGAAUAUCAGUAAAUUACAUUAAAAAAAUGUAUGAAAAGAUUUUUUGCAAUAAAAAUGUUUAUAUUUAUCAAGGAUGCAUUAUUUGGUAUGGCCACAUAUCGUCAGUGAUGUGAC
Diabrotica virgifera virgifera (western corn rootworm) is the source of this 842-nucleotide long non-coding RNA. RefSeq lists it as uncharacterized. The record is from RefSeq and is a predicted model, not a curated record. The transcript is spliced from 3 exons. Lineage: Eukaryota; Metazoa; Arthropoda; Insecta; Coleoptera; Chrysomelidae.